Molecule: ribosomal RNA, 460 nt
Filed under: uncultured bacterium
Lineage: Bacteria
Description: partial 16S ribosomal RNA
Rfam family: Bacterial small subunit ribosomal RNA
Source: RNAcentral
UCUACGGGUGGCAGCAGUGAGGAAUAUUGGUCAAUGGGCGCGAGCCUGAACCAGCCAAGUAGCGUGAAGGAUGACUGCCCUACGGGUUGUAAACUUCUUUUAUAAAGGAAUAAAGUGAGGCACGUGUGACUUUUUGUAUGUACUUUAUGAAUAAGGAUCGGCUAACUCCGUGCCAGCACCCGCGGUAAUACGGAGGAUCUGAGCGUUAUCCGGAUUUAUUGGGUUUAAAGGGAGUGUAGAUGGUUUGUUAAGUCAGUUGUGAAAGUUUGUGGCUCAACCGUAAAAUUGGAAUUGAUACUGGCAGUCUUGAGUACAGUUGAGGUAGGCGGAAUUCGGGGUGUAGCGGUGAAAUGCUUAGAUAUCAAGAAGAACCCAGAUUGCGAAGGCAGCUUACUAAACUGUGACUGACAUUGAUGCUCGAAAGUGUGGGUAUCAAACAGGAUUAGAUACCCUAGUAGUC